AAUAGAAAAAGUCUAACAAAAACACAGAGUAGACGUGGACGGGUACUUAUACAUCCACACAACUGAUAAACAGAUCUGAGAGGACUCGCAGUUCCUUUCAGCUAGUCCAAACCCAAUAACAACUAAUGAAAAAUUCAUGCAUCUAAGACUAUAAAUCAUUUUAUUAGAAAUCAAAAAUCUAUUAUCAUAUCAUCUCCUUUUCUCCUCC
This 208-nucleotide long non-coding RNA is filed under the name Mytilus galloprovincialis (Mediterranean mussel). The record is from RNAcentral. Lineage: Eukaryota; Metazoa; Mollusca; Bivalvia; Mytilida; Mytilidae.